This 403-nucleotide ribosomal RNA is filed under the name uncultured bacterium. RNAcentral describes it as "partial 16S ribosomal RNA". It matches the Rfam family "Bacterial small subunit ribosomal RNA", at positions 30 to 526 of the family's 1533-position model. The record is from RNAcentral.
AUUGAACGCUGGCGGCAGGCCUAACACAUGCAAGUCGAGCGAGCGGCGGACGGGUGAGUAAUGUAUGGGGACUGCCCGCUAGAGGGGGAUAACUACUGGAAACGGUAGCUAAUACCGCAUACUAUCGGAUAACCCAUAUGGGAUUGGCUUGUAGGUGAGGUAAUGGCUCACCUAGGCGACGAUCCGUCGCUGGUUUGAGAGGACGACCAGCCACACUGAGAAUGAGACGCGGCCCAGACUCCUACGGAGGCAGCAGUGGGGAAUUUUGGACGAGGGGGUAAACCCUGAUCCAGCCAUCCCGCGUGUAUGAUGAAGGCCUUCGGGGUGUAAAGUACUUUUGGCAGAGAAGCGGUAUCUGCAGAAUAAGCACCGGCUAACUACGUGCCAGCAGCCGAGGUAAUUC